Molecule: ribosomal RNA, 468 nt
Filed under: uncultured bacterium
Lineage: Bacteria
Description: partial 16S ribosomal RNA
Rfam family: Bacterial small subunit ribosomal RNA
Source: RNAcentral
GACGAACGCUGGCGGCGUGCUUAAUACAUGCAAGUCGAACGGAAAGGCGCUGCUCUUGCGUGUUGCAUGAGUGGCGAACGGGUGAGUGACACAUGAGUAUCCUGCCCUUGACUUUGGGAUAAAUUUUCGAAACUGCGGCUCAUACCGGAUAGAAGCUCCUGAUGCAUGGUGGGGGUUGGAAAGAUUCGGUGGUUCGGGAUGGACUCGCGGUUUACCAGCUUCUUGGUGUGGUAGUGGAUUACCAAGGCUUUGACGGGUAGUCCGCCUGGGAGGGUGGCCGGCGACAAUGGGACUGAGAUACGGCCCAGACGCCUACGGGAGGCAGCAGUGGAGAAUAUUGCAGAGCAGGGGGACGCCAGAUACAGCAACGCCGCGUGCGGGAAGACGGCCUUCGAGGGGUAAACCGAUUUCGAAUGUAACGAAGAGUGAGUGACGGUAAUGGGUAAAAAAGCACCGGCUAACUACGUG